AACUGCUGCUUUUGUCACAUGGCUUUUAGAGGAAGACGCAACUCAGACAAUUUGCAUCAUGUUACUCCGGCAAUCAUUUUUCCAAUGCGUUUACUACAUCUUUGAAUGAAAUCCAUCUGUUCACACUCAGUUUGUUCCUCUGUAUCACGGUUUGAGAAUCAACGGAACGUAACAGUCAUUCGAAGGCUGAAAUCUUGGGGCUUCAGUUUCAUGAUGCACUAUUCCUUUGAUGUAAAUAACCAUUCCCAGAGGAAAAUAUAACUUCUUGAACUUCCAGGGUAAAAUGACAAUCCUGCAUGAAUGGAGAAGGGAGACAACAAUGUUGGAAAUAUUGCCUGGAACACAAAACUGAACGCUGAACCAUUUUAAUCUUAGUUGUCUGAGAAGAACAAAUGACUAAAAUAUUCCAGCUAGUUUGUUACUACAAUGAGGAAUUUAUAACCUUCCAUGCAGGUUUUACCUUUCAUCGCAAUUUAACAGAUUACUUCAAAGUGGAGAUGGCAGGAGUUUGUUGAAACUUGCAUCACAUUGAUUUUAUUGUGACAGCAAACAAAAUAUUUAUAGGCUCCAAUGACAGAAAGCUGUUCAGUUUGUACCUGCAAAUAUAUAUGGGUAAAACUGUUGCACAUUCUGUAGCUUAUCUCCAAUUUUGGUGUAAUUUCCAUUGACUUGAACUUUGUUGAGUCCAUUUCCACACAGAAGUGUUGAUUUUUCUCGAACUGUUGCACUCGUUCUUGGGACUCAAAGGGCAGCCUGUUUCAUUUUUCAUCCUUAAUUUUUUGCAUAUCUUUCACUCAUUUAUUCUACACCUCUCUACGUCACUGUGUAUAUCUCUCGUUUCCCUUUGCCCUGACUAGUCAGAAGAAAAGUCUCAACCCAAAAUGUCACCCAUUCCUUCUCUCCAUAGAUGCUGCCUGUCCCGCUGAAUUACUCCAGAAUUUUGUGUCUAUCAUCGGUUUAAACCAGCAUCUGCAGUUCCUUCCUACACAUUUAGACUGAUUUAAAUGUAUUUUUCUAAUAAUCUCCUCUGGUAAUCUCAAGUAGUUCUGAGAUUUACUCAAAGAUUUUUUUUUAAUUUAAUUGCACAGAGACCUAUGCCCUUAAAUCACAUCCCUAUCUAUCGAUAUUUUUGGUGGAGUUUAACUUUGGUUUUAAAAUAACUCAAUAGCAUUUAAAGUCUCUUUUGGUCAUAAUUCUAACUAUUUAAACUAAUGAUGCAGCAAUGCUUAGAUCCAAUUAAAUGGAAGUGCAAGUGUUGGAAAGUUGAAUAUAGAUUUUUCCUUGAUAUGUUUACAUCUCACAAAAAGAAUAUAUAAAGCGUGUUACAAAAGUGUCUAAACACUUUACAAUCUGGUUACGCUAAAUGCAUAGCCUAUUAAAAAAAAUGGAAAAAAGCACGAUCUAUGAUGCAAUUAUUGAUUUGCUACCGUUGUUGGAAGAAAGUGUUCUGUUCAGCUGCAUAAACACGAUAUUUUCAAAUUGUAGACUUAACAUAAUGCAACAUUACGGGUUGAGGCAUACUUACAAACCAUAGUUAUAAAUUUUUCAGAUUAAAACAAUAAUUUCUCGCCUGUACACAAGAAUGCCUAACAAAAUAAAGCACUCCAUUUGCAACAGUUUAUGUGUUUUAAGAACCUGCUGCGAAGCUCUCAAGUGCAAUGAUAAAUGCAGCAUCACCGAUUCUGUGCAACAUUUUUUUGUUUCAAGGAAAAUAAGCACUCCAUCACUCAGUUGUGUUCAUUCUGUUAUUCUUUGCCCAAACAUUAUAGAUCAGCACACGCACUGUGGAGCAUUCGCACAUAAAUAAGAUAUGCAUAUUUACUGCAAGAGUUUUUAUGUUUUUUCAAAAGGCAUAAAUAGCAAAUAGAUGCUGCAGAAUAUGUUUAUUGUAUCUCUUCCCCUCCUCACAUGAUUGAACUUUAGAAUAUAGAUUUAACAAAUUCUUCCAUGUGGAUAUCUACACUUUGCUAAUCCCUGUGGGGACUGAACAAGAUACACCUAACAGAAUUUCAGAUCCAGGGACUGCUAAGCAUUUUAUAAAGGCGAGUUUUCAAGUUUUAGACAUUCCUGAAGUAUAUCCUAUCUAAUCUGCAUACCCAGUGGAUCCAUUUUAAGAUAAUUGUGAUAGAAACAUUUGCGAAAGACUUAGCAGAUAAUUAAGCAAUCGCAUGUUGUAACUUUUUUUUAACUUUGAAGUGGGUCAGUCAGCUAAUCGUAGAAUGGAUAAUCACUGCACCCAGGCACCAUUUAGAAACUGCCACACAUUACCCACAAUAAAUAAUGUCCUUGAAAACAAAAUGCUGUCAUUUAGAUGCACACGUUCUCACAAACAGAGCCCAAAGUCUAGAAAAUAUACAACUUAUCCCUUUGAUGAUCGUCACUGCCUGAAACUCACAAGAUUUUACCAUUAUCAGUCAAAAGCAGCUAAUAUAAAUGAAUAAUUGCAAAAACUAUUUCCUUUAAUAAUUGCAGGACUCUAAACAUUAAAUAGCAUGCUCUGAAGUUGAUUGCAAGAAUAUUUUUUCAAAAGAAUGUGCAAGUCAUGAUAAAAUUAAAAACAAAGUCACUGAAGCAAACAAAUUUGAAUGAGCAUACCUUUGCCAUUAUAAAUAUAUUAUUUUCAAUAAUGACUAUAAUGUUGCUGUAAACCAUAAUAUAUAUCUUAAUAUAUUACACUUCCUUGUCUUGUCACUUCCUGGCAGAAAAAUACUAAAAACACUGGGAAAAAUCUUUGAGCAGAUAUCCCUUUCGGAGGAUAGAUACAAAAUACUGGAGUAACUCAACGGGCCAGACAGCAUCUGUGGAGAGAAGGAAUGGGUGACGUUUCGGUUUGAGACCCUUCUUGUGACUGGAGCUGGUGUGAACAGAGGAAAACUGCAACAAUGAACGAUGAGCAGCAAACAAAAUAAAAGUCACAGAGAUGUAUCAAAACGUUCUUGGGCAAAAGGAAAUCUGUCCAGGACCAACCUUGCCUCUGUGUGUCUGACCCCAUGUCAUUGUCCUGAACUACAUUAGUCACAGCUCCAUCCAGUUUUAAAGUAGGCUAUAAACACCAGUGUGGGAGAUACUAAUUGUAGAUACUGCAAACUGCAGGUGCUGCAACCUUGAUUAAAACAUAGUUCUGGAGGAAUUCAGCAGGUCAGGCAACAUUUGUGGAAGGAAUGGAUAGGCAAUAUGUCAGGUCAGAAUUGUGUACUAAUGUUUUUUUUUGCAGUUAUGUUCUUUACAUUGCCUUGUAGAAUAUAUGUGCCAUUUAUGUUUUUGUAUAUUGACUGAGUUUAUGUGCCUGUGAUGUUGCAACUGCACUGAAAUGCACCUAUCCUUUUUUUACCAGAAAUGUUGCCUGACCCGCUGAGUUACUCCAACACAUGGUGUCUAUCCUUGGUAUAAACCAGCAUCCGCAGUUCUUUGUUUCAACAUUUUCUUUCUGAAGGAUUAGGAGUAGGUCAGAAAUAAUUUUCAUACGUUGAAGGAAGCAUUCUUUCAGGCAGUUAUAAAGAGUCUUGAUAAACAAGGGUGAGUUGAUAGGAAUGUGAAAAGAGAUUACAAUCAGAGCAGCCACAAUCUUAUUAAGAGGCAGAACAUGCUUCAAGUGCUAAAAGGCAUGUUCCUGAAUCUCAUUCUUGCAUGCAUAUGUUGGUAUAUGGCCAUUUGCCCAUUCCAUCAGUCACCUCCUGCCCUGUCAGUGGGUGAUCUGCAGUUCCCACACUGUCCUCAUCAGUCAUCUCAGGACCAGAAUAGAAGUAGGUCACCCUCAAUGCUGAGGAACCAGCAAAGGAGGAGGAGGAGCCUGAAGUCAUCAAUCAGACAAAAAUGAGCUAUGAACAAUAUUACAAUCUGAAAGUGUAGUUAACGUCAAGAUUCUGCUGAUGCUUACAAAAGACUCAUUCCCUUCAAACUACUUCUAUACAUGCACAUUAAUUUUGCCCCAUAGCCCCGCAAUUGGCAAUACAUACCACAGACAAAGUGUAGCCAUUUCCUAACAACUCUCAGUAACUUAUUUUUGACCUGACCCCACCCUAUCACAGAUAUUCCCCCUCCCCUGCUCACUCCCGUCACCUUCUCUGCAACUUAAAACCAUCUCUCUCUUUCUCCCAUUUCUGAUAAAGGGUCUCUGAUCUUAAAAAUUAACUCUGCCACAUAGGAAGGAACUGCAGAUGCUGGUUUAAAUGGAAGAUAGACUCAAAAAGCUGGAGUAACUCAGCGGGUCAGACAGCACCUCUGGGGGAAAGGAAUAGAUGAUGUUUUAGGUCGAGACCCUUCUUCAGACUCUGCUACCCUCUCCACAAAUGCUGCCUGGCCUAAAGUGUGUCCAGAAUUAUCCAUUUUUAUUUCUGAUUUAUAGCACCUGCAAUUUUCUGCUGAUAAUUAAUCUAGCAUGAAUUCCACUACAGGGAAAGAUUGACUGGAAAGACACAGGAGAUAUGUUGAUCUCAAAGACUCCUUGAAAAAAAUAAGAUCCUCACAGGUUCAUGGGGAACCUCUUAACCAUCAUUGCCUACUGGGGAAGGAACAUUAAUGAAGGCAAGAGGUCCUGGAGUGUAAUCAGGACUGGAUAGAGGGCAAACAGAAGGAAGAAUGCACACAUCUUAAACUACUGAUCACCUACUGUGUCAUGUGGUAGACACAAGGAACUGCAGUUGCUGGGUUUGCUAAGUAGGGUGCAAAGUAACUCAACAGGUCAGGCAGCAUCUCUGGAGAACGAGGACGGGUGACAUUUUGCAUCGGGAUGUUGUCCUUGAAGCUGCAGAGGACUUUUCAAAAUUAGAGUGGACUUAUUUAACCAUAGAAAAAAAAUCCCAUAGCAGUUCCACUGCUGGAAAACAUUCCCCUGAAACAUCUUCCUUGGAUUUGCUGCUUUGCUUAGAAAGCCUCUUAACAAGGCAGCCCAAUUCUCUUGUCCAAGCCUUUUGGCACAAUGUACGUUUCACUGUAUUCAAUUGUGUGUUAAAUUCUUAGUGAUUUAGGGUAGGCCUAUGCAAAAUAGACCGCGAAGGAAAACCUCGCAAGGUUGUGGGUUGCAGCGGUGUUGGUGUCAAGGAUUAUGGCAAGGAUUCUCAAGCCAAGGAUGUCAUUCGACAACUAUUUCAGGGCGAAGUAAUAUACUUUAAUAAAAAAAUAAAAACACGUAAAAAUUUUUUUUUAAUUCUUAGUAAUUUCAUUGUGCAGCACAAUCUCAUUAUGAAUCACAUCACUGAAUUUCAUUCCAGAUCCAGUUGCUCUGGAUGCUUUCAACAUCGAGUCCGUCAGGACAUAGCAAUGCAUCACUAAUGUUCCUCUCGCUAUUUUUACCAUGGCUCCAUUGUGCAAUAAAAUGUCCAUUGCCAUACUUACCCUUUCCACUCUCUACUGACUAAGAUUCAUAUCAAGUGCACAGGGGUAGCACGAUGGCACAGCUGGUAGAACUGCUGCCUCACAGCACCAGAGACACAGAUUCAAUCAAGAGCUCGGGUGCUCUCUGUGUGGAGUCAAUCUUAUCAAUGCACAUAUUCAAAUGUGCUUUAGAUGUCAUUAUGGUCCAAUCCCACUUAGGUGACUCUUUAGGAGACUGCCAGGGACUAGUUUUAAUGCAAUUCACCUACGACAUCUGGCGACAACCUACGGCAACAAAUAUUGUCGCCACUUUCGCAGAAUAUUUUCCAACAUGUUGAAAAAUUUGUGGCAAUCACCUGUAGUCGCUUGAACAUUUGCCUAAGUGGGACAAGCCCAUUACUGUUUCUGCCUCCUUACUGUCUCUGGCAACUCAUUCCAUAUAUUUACCACUGGAGACACAGCGGCAGAGACAUGACACACUCAUUAAAGUGGUGACAGCCUCAAAGCAGCAACUAAUGUUCAAAAUUAAUGAUAAAACAAGCCGAAUGAUUCAGCCUAUUUAGCCAGAGGAUGUUUAAGAACUAAUAAAUUAAAUUUCAAUCUGCUGGGUUUCUUUGAAAGAAGCUAUUUGCCACUCAUCACCUCCUUCUUAUUAUGUUUUUGGCACGUGAAGGAAAACAGGUGAAUACCAAGUAAGACACUACAAGUACAAAUUCUGUCAUACUUAUGAGAUUAAGUGAACUGGUUGCAAAAUGAAUGUUUUACUUCACAGGGAGUCAGCUGAAUGGAAUCUAAGCACGCAUUCACAGGAUCGAGAAAUGCAAAAUGUUGCAGAUCUUGGGAAUCUGAAAUAAAAAGCUGAACAUCCAGGAGAUACUCAGUGGGGACAGAAAAAAAAAGGUUGGCAUUUCCGGUUGAUAACUUUUCAUCACAACUGGGAAAGUGAGAAAACAAAUGGGUCUUAAGUCACAGAGAGGAGAGGGGUAGAGAGAACAAUGGGAAUAUCUGUGACCUUCAAUGGAACACUAUGGAGUUUAGAAGAAUAAGGGGGGACCUCAUUGAAACAUGCAGAAUAGUGAAAGGCUUGGAUAGAGUGGAUGAAGAGAGGAUGUUUCCACUCAUGGGAGAGUCUAGGUCAUAGCCUCAGAAUUAAGGGACGUUCUUUUAGGAAGGUGAUGAGGGGACAUUUCUUUAGUCAAAGGAUGGAAAAUAUGUGGAAUUCUUUGCCACAGAAGGCUGUAGAGACCAAGUAAGGUCCAAGUAUAUUUUUAAGGCAGAGAUGGAUAGAUUUUUGAUUAGUACAGAUGUCAGAGGUUAUGGGGAGGAAGCAGGAGAAUGGGGUUGGAGGGAGAGAUAGAUCAGCCAUGAUUGAAUGGCGGAAUAGAUUUUAUGGGCAAAUGGCCUAAUUCUACUCCUAUCACUUAUGACUAUGGGCCACCUCUUGUAUCAUUAUGGACUGGUUUGUUCUACUAGUUAUUGGUUACAUGAUGAUUUGUUACUGCAUGGUCUACAUUCUUUUAUUUUUAAUGUGGAGCAAUUAUGUGCAACUUGUAUAUAAUAGUUUUUUGCAUGUUUUUAUUUAAGUUUAUGUGCAUGUGAUGCUGCUGCAAGCAAGAUAUUUCAUUGUACCUGGAGCUCAACGACAAUAAGACAAUGAACUUGAACUGGAAUGUGGUAAACAUAGAAACAUAGAAAAUAGGUGCAGAAGUAAGCCAUCAGCCCUUUGAGCCAGCACCGCCAUUCAAUAUGACCAUGGCUUAUCAUCUAAAAUCAGAACCCCGUCCCUCAAGAUUCAAGAGAUUCAAGAGAGUUUAUUGUCAUGUGUCCCUGAUAGGACAAUGAAAUUCUUGCUUUGCUUCAGCACAACAGUACAUAGUAGGCAUGACUCCCUACCCGAAACGUCGCAUAUUCCUUUUCUCCAUAGAUGCUGCCUCACCCGUUGAGUUCCUCCAGCAUUUUUUGUCACCUAUCCAUGUUCCCUAGAGAUGCUGCCUGACCUGUAGUGUUACUCCAGCACUUGCUGUGUUUUUUUUUUUGUAAACCAGCAUCUGCAGUUCCUCGUGUCUACAUUCAGCAAGCUUAUGAGAUUGCCAGGGUUGAGUUUAAUCAACACUGGGAGUUGGUUUCAAUUAUCAUUUGCAAGGGCAACAAUGAGCUGGAUAAUGACUGUACUAAAAACUUUACAGCACAGAUCAUGCAGUUAUCAAGAAAAAUUCCCCCCACUGAUGUUUUCUCCAUCCCAGACUCAGUGGUGCCUUUAAAGCUCAUCUCUCAGAGCCACGUUGUAGUAUCUUAAUAAAAUCAGAAGACAAAAAAUAUACAUAAAGAUAUACUUGAUAAUGCAAGCUAUGUUUGAGUGAAUUUUUGCUGAUAAACCCGGGGGGUGAUGGUAUGAUAUCUUAAAUGCUCAGAUGGACGAUUAUCUUGUAUCAUUCUGACAAGUGUGUGGCACGGUGGCACAGAGGUAGAGUUGUUGCCUUACAGCGCUUGCAGCACUGGAGACCCGGGUUUGAUCCCGAUUACAAGUGCUGUCUGUAUGGAGUUUGCACGGUCUCCCCGUGACCGCGUGGGUUUUCUCCGAUAUCUUCGGUUUCCUCCCACACCCGAAAGACGUACAGACAUGUAGGAUAAUUGGCUUGGUGUAUGUGUUAAUUGUCCCUCGUGUGUGUGGGGUAUUGUUAAUGCACGGGGAUUACUGAUCGAAGCAGACCCGGACUAAACUAAAGUGGGCUUUGUCCGAAUCAUUUACUUGUCACUGGAAAGAAAACGUCCUCGCACCGUGUACUGGAGCAGAGUAGCGUCAACACAGCUUCACUUCCCAGAGCCGGCUGCCUGCAGUUUUAAUCAGAACUUUUUAGUUUAUACAGCCCGAGACUGCAGACAAACUGGCGAGGCACAAUGAGGAAGCUCACAGAUAUCAAAAUUAUCAGUUUGUACUGAACUCAAUAACCCAAACAGCCUCCAUUUCCAUGAGUAGCGUCCUGCCUUUUGUUCUGACAGAGAUAAGAUGUAUAAAUUAUGAGUGGUUGACAAAGAAUACUUCAGUGCCUGAGGCAGCUCAUCAAUCAUUUUCAGUGCGUCGGCAGGUAACUGAUGUAACCCCUGCAGGCUGAUUCCAUUCAGACUUGGAUGCUGGAUGCCGUUGUCCCUCAACGGUAAACAAUCAGUGCUGGCAUGGAAGGAGACGAAUGGCGGAGACCACACAGCGACCAGUGUGUAGAAGGUGGGAAAGACUUGAUGGGACCCUUGCUCUUUUUUUUUUGUAUCAGCCGACUUCAAACAGUCUUCAACGUCAGCAGAUUCCCUCAACUUUUGACAGUCUUUGGCCAAGUUAGGCAGAGGUCAGCUCACACUAAAUAAAAUUGCUGCAGUUACUGACUGUGGAUCAUUCCCCCGCCUGCCCAGCUGGCUUUGUGCCAGGGAGUCACACAUUCAAGUACUCCUUUGCUUUUCAAAUACAAACCUGAAGCAAAUUAGUUUACCCAGUCCAAUUCUGACAUUGUUGAUAGACUGGUCUCUUUACCUUUGUUGCUUGUUCAGUGUAUCUGGGAGAGGGGCGGAGAGGAAUUGCUGGUGUGAACUGACAGGUCGACUAAGCUUUUCAAGUGUCAGGAACUGGCUGGGUUUUACUGAUCAAUGGGUCACCCUGAGAAGAAAGACACAUCUAUGUCGUCCAUGUCAAAGGCUUAAGACCCAGGCAAACCUCUCUGAAGACGCAUAUAUUUUCAUCUUCGCCAUAAUGAAGGGAAGAAAUGUAUUCUCUUUAAAAAAGGAAUGGUUGAUCUGCAGAUGCCCUGUACAUCUGACACAGCCAUUGCAGGAUUAAUUAAACAUCAUGUGCUGUGCUAGUUAACUUAAAAAACUAAACUCCAAUUACACUUUUUCCAA
Molecule: long non-coding RNA, 9201 nt
Organism: Leucoraja erinaceus (little skate)
Lineage: Eukaryota; Metazoa; Chordata; Chondrichthyes; Rajiformes; Rajidae
Exons: 3
Source: RefSeq, a predicted model, not a curated record